CAGAAGUCCCAAGCGUUGUUCGGAUUCACUGGGCGUAAAGGGUGCGUAGGUGGUCAGGUAAGUCGGAUGUGAAAUCUCCGAGCUCAACUCGGAAACUGCAUUGGAAACUACCUGGCUCGAGGGUUGAGGGGGGACUGGAAUGCUUGGUGUAGCAGUGAAAUGCGUAGAUAUCAAGCGGAGCACCAGUGGCGAAGGCGAGUCCCUGGACAACUCCUGACACUGAUGCACGAAAGCUAGGGGAGCAAACAGGAUUAGAUACCCUGGUAGUCCUAGCCGUAAACGGUGCACGUUUGCUGUAAAAGGAAUCGACCCCUUUUGUGGCGUAGCCAACGCGUUAAACGUGCCGCCUGGGAAGUACGGUCGCAAGAUUA
This 371-nucleotide ribosomal RNA is filed under the name uncultured organism. RNAcentral describes it as "bacterial SSU rRNA". It matches the Rfam family "Bacterial small subunit ribosomal RNA", at positions 526 to 896 of the family's 1533-position model. The record is from RNAcentral.